RNAcentral lists this ribosomal RNA (492 nucleotides) under uncultured bacterium. RNAcentral's name for it is "partial 16S ribosomal RNA". It matches the Rfam family "Bacterial small subunit ribosomal RNA", at positions 29 to 507 of the family's 1533-position model. The record is from RNAcentral.
AGUGAACGCUGGCGGUAUGCCUAACACAUGCAAGUCGAACGGCAGCACAGUAAGAGCUUGCUCUUACGGGUGGCGAGUGGCGGACGGGUGAGGAAUACAUCGGAAUCUACUUUUUCGUGGGGGAUAACGUAGGGAAACUUACGCUAAUACCGCAUACGACCUACGGGUGAAAGCAGGAGAUCUUCGGACCUUUCGCGAUUGAAUGAGCCGAUGUCGGAUUAGCUAGUUGGCGGGGUAAAGGCGCACCAAGGCGACGAUCCGUAGCUGGUCUGAGAGGAUGAUCAGCCACACUGGAACUGAGACACGGUCCAGACUCCUACGGGAGGCAGCAGUGGGGAAUAUUGGACAAUGGGCGAAAGCCUGAUCCAGCCAUACCGCGUGGGUGAAGAAGGCCUUCGGGUUGUAAAGCCCUUUUGUUGGGAAAGAAAAGCAGCAGGUUAAUACCUCGCUGUUCUGACGGUACCCAAAGAAUAAGCACCGGCUAACUUCGUG